Molecule: long non-coding RNA, 1768 nt
Organism: Numida meleagris (helmeted guineafowl)
Lineage: Eukaryota; Metazoa; Chordata; Aves; Galliformes; Numididae
Exons: 2
Source: RefSeq, a predicted model, not a curated record
CCAUCCCCACAAUUCAUCCUGCGUGUUUGAAGCCCUUAGCCUGAAUUACUGGGGUUAUCGGAAGACCAUUGACCUUUUCUCAGCAAAACUCACCAACCGAACUGUAAGGAUUUACUGCAGCCAUAACACAGAAGAUUUUCUUCCUUAUGAUGUAUGUUCACUUAUUCAUUUGUGCUUUUGCCUUUUUAUUAAAACACGUAUUAUUAGAAAAGGGCAGGAGAGGGUCUUCUUUUCGCUCACUAAUUUUAUUUAGAAGUGCAACUGCUAAACCUAACACUUCCUGAUGGAUAUAGACUUAACGAAGUAGCAGUGUCACCAAAGCCAAGACAACCGAAAUGGAGCAGUCGGGGAGGGGAGGAUUUGGGCUUAAAUAGCACACAACAACUGGUGUUCGUUUUGUUAAAUGCUUCUGUAAAAAAAAGCUAUUGGCCCUCAUGUCGCUGAAAGGGCAUUCUGGUGAUGUCCAACCUGUCUGAUACGUAAUGCAAGAAAUUAUUACAUGCAUUUUUCACACCUCCUCGGGGAGGACAAAGGCUUUGUUACUGCUAAGAAAAUAAUUUGAAAAAGGACAAAAGAGAAUAAAUUAAAGACAAUAUUUGUUACAAGUCCCUAGCUCUUCUUAGCAGAAACACAACUGAAAGCUCAGCAUUCCCUCUGCUGCCAAAUGCUGCUUCGUUGCCCUUUAUAAUUAGAAUAAAUUAAAAAGCCACAAAAAAAUCUUCAUCAAUCUUUUCGAAGUCUUUCCAGUGAUAGCGCAUAAAUCUCCCGACCCGAUCUUCCACGUUACACACCAGCUUUUUUUUUUUAGGAAUUUUUUCUGAGGCUAUUUCUAGGAAAAAGCAACCAGGAAAUUACAAUAUUUUCUGUUUCAGAACUUCAGUUGGGGUUUUUCUUUCUUCUUCUAAUGCGGUCAUCCAGAGACGCCCGGAAUGCACAGGAGCGACGCGGAAGAAUAAAGUUCAAAAAUACUUCUAUCGCCGGCCCCAAAAACGCAAGGGUCAUUUCUCCUAAUUCUUUCUGCCAAGAAAUAGAAACGCUUUCUGGUUCAUCGAGCAAAUUGGUGGGUCUGAAUUCCAGAAACUCAGAUAUCCUCACAAAGGCGGCACUAUGACCCAACAGGUUACGUGUUCUGAAUUCUGGCCGAGGGCCACUUUGUUAAUAAAUACAAGCGUUGAGUUCAGCUGGAUUUAAAGAUCGUGUUCCUCGAGCAGGUCCGGCAGCGCCAGAGCUGUAAAGUCAUGGCGACAGCUCUGCUCUGACACCCGGGCACAGCGCUGCAGGUAGAACGGCCCCGGAUCCGCAGCGCUGGGGGGAGGGCACAGCGCAGCCCCGCUGAGCGCACGGGAACUGCAGGGAUUGCACUGCUGCCAUGAGUUACACCCUCAGAUACAAUAAAUGUGCAGACUCCUACAGCACCUUAAGCCUGCAAAGAGGGGAGCGGUGAGACAGCAGCACACCGUGGGGAGGCACGAGGCCUGAAAGGAAACGAAAUGUAAGAGAAAACUGAGAACUUCAUACAGCAGAGAACCAGAACUACGUCUCUCAUAAAUACCAUUCUAAACAGAGUAGUGGGAAAAGAAGCUGAUACCAAGCAAGUGGACCAAGACAAGAACUUUCACAGAACAUUCAGCAUAGUGCCAGUAAUUACUGUUCAUAAUGAGGGAAAACAAGCUGCAGUUGUAUCAUAGUAGCGCAGCACAUAAUGCUGUUUGAGUUUCCCUUCUGUAUGGUUUUGUAUGCUGGGUGCUGAUAAAGAUCUUUUCCUCUA